UGGUUGGGUAGGGGAGCGUCGUGUCAGUGGUGAAGCUGCCGGGUGACUGUGUGGUGGAGUUGAUGCGAGUGAGAAUGCAGGCAUGAGUAGCGAAUGACGGGUGAGAAACCCGUCCGCCGAAUGAUCAAGGGUUCCGGGGUCAAGCUAAUCUGCCCCGGGUGAGUCGGGACCUAAGGCGAGGCCGACAGGCGUAGUCGAUGGACAACGGGUUGAUAUUCCCGUACCCGUGUAUCC
This 234-nucleotide ribosomal RNA is filed under the name Ditylum brightwellii. RNAcentral's name for it is "partial Bacterial large subunit ribosomal RNA". It matches the Rfam family "Bacterial large subunit ribosomal RNA", at positions 1221 to 1454 of the family's 2925-position model. The record is from RNAcentral. Lineage: Eukaryota; Bacillariophyta; Thalassiosirophyceae; Lithodesmiales; Lithodesmiaceae.